AAGUCGAAUUCGACAAUCGCUCGUCAAUUUUCUGCGAUUCAUGGCCAUUAUUGUCGACAAAAAUUAUCAACUACUUUAAAAAUUCAAGGAUAAAGGAUGUAAAGGAAUUUUUUUCAGUUAACAAGAAUCUUCCAGAAAAGGAAAAUAAUAAAAGUGUACUCGCGUUAUUUUUGUUGCCACUGUGUGUCACAAUUUACAAAAAUUUAAAAGAAGAAGAUCCUAAGGAUAAAUCUUCACAAGCAGGAAAAAAGUCCAAGCAGAGUCCAAAAGAAAAAGCUAAGACGAUUCCGAUUUCAAAGACGGAUAUUUCAAAGUCCUUUAUUCUACAUGUUCAGGACCUGGCAAAUUUAGAUAAGGAACCGCAGGAACAUGAAAAUUGGUUACAAUUAAACAGCAGUCUGGGUCUACCCUAUGUCAUUUUUUGCGGACAAUUAAACAGCAUUUACAUUGCUUACGUUGUCUUGUAUAAGGAAAGAUUUUUGUUUGACAAUCCUCUUAAAGCAG
Molecule: long non-coding RNA, 504 nt
Organism: Leptopilina heterotoma
Lineage: Eukaryota; Metazoa; Arthropoda; Insecta; Hymenoptera; Figitidae
Exons: 3
Source: RefSeq, a predicted model, not a curated record